AACGAACGCUGGCGGCAGGCUUAACACAUGCAAGUCGAACGAUGUAGCAAUACAUAGUGGCGCACGGGUGAGUAACGCGUGGGAAUGUACCUUAUAGUGGGGAAUAACGUUGGGAAACUAACGCUAAUACCGCAUACGCCUCGGGAAGGAUUAUCGCUAUAAGAAUCAGCCCGCCGUGAGAUUAGGUAGUUGGUGGGUAAGUGGCCUACCAAGCCUACGAUCUCUAGCUGGUCUGAGAGGAUGAUCAGCCACACUGGAACUGAGACACGGUCCAGACUCCUACGGGAGGCAGCAGUGGGGAAU
Molecule: ribosomal RNA, 303 nt
Filed under: uncultured bacterium
Lineage: Bacteria
Description: bacterial SSU rRNA
Rfam family: Bacterial small subunit ribosomal RNA
Source: RNAcentral